GGCAUUGCCCCAGUAACGGCGAGUGAAGCGGCAACAGCUCAAAUUUGAAAUCUGGCCCCCCCCCGGGGGGCCCGAGUUGUAAUUUGCAGAGGAUGCUUUGGGCGAGGCGCCUUCCGAGUUCCCUGGAACGGGACGCCACAGAGGGUGAGAGCCCCGUCUGGUCGGACGCCGAGCCUCUGUAAAGCUCCUUCGACGAGUCGAGUAGUUUGGGAAUGCUGCUCAAAAUGGGAGGUAUAUGUCUUCUAAAGCUAAAUACCGGCCAGAGACCGAUAGCGCACAAGUAGAGUGAUCGAAAGAUGAAAAGCACCUUGAAAAGGGGGUUAAACAGUACGUGAAAUUGUUGAAAGGGAAGCGCUCGUGACCAGACUUGGGGCGGGCGGAUCAGCCGGCGUUCUCGCCGGCGCACUCCGCCCGUCCCAGGCCAGCAUCAGUUCGCGCCGGGGGACAAAGGCGGCGGGAACGUGGCUCCCCAGGGAGUGUUAUAGCCCGCCGCGCCAUGCCCCGGGGGCGGACUGAGGGCCGCGCAUCACUGCAAGGAUGCUGGCGUAAUGGUCACCAGCGACCCGUCUUGAAACACGGGCCAAGGAGUCGUCCUCGUAUGCGAGUGUUCGGGUGUCAAACCCCUACGCGGAAUGAAAGUGAACGUGGGUGAGAGCUUCGGCGCAUCAUCGACCGAUCCUGAUGUUCUCGGAUGGAUUUGAGUAGGAGCAUACGGGGCCGGACCCGAAAGAAGGUGAACUAUGCCUGUGUAGGGUGAAGCCAGAGGAAACUCUGGUGGAGGCUCGCAGCGGUUCUGACGUGCAAAUCGAUCGUCAAACAUGGGCAUGGGGGCGAAAGACUAAUCGAA
This 847-nucleotide ribosomal RNA is filed under the name Aschersonia sp. JZQ-2014a. Its description in RNAcentral is "eukaryotic LSU rRNA". It matches the Rfam family "Eukaryotic large subunit ribosomal RNA", at positions 71 to 939 of the family's 3401-position model. The record is from RNAcentral. Lineage: Eukaryota; Fungi; Ascomycota; Sordariomycetes; Hypocreales; Clavicipitaceae.